CUCUUUUUGAGUUUGGGGCUCUGUAGAGGCUUGGCUUUUAUUUUCUAAGUUCCUGUCUUUCAUAUGAAUGAAAAUGUAACCAGUGUUGUAUGAGAGGUGGAACCUUUUUGUUUGUCACAGAUGUACAACCUGUAUGAAAUAGUGAAAAGUGAGUGUCUUAGGGCAAAGUGAAGUUUUUAGGGAAAGCAUAUAUCUGUCUUGUUGUUGGGUAUGACUGGAGGAAAGCUUUAGGUUAACUGAUAAAUGUAUACUGCACAAUACAUUUGGAAGCUGAAUACAUUUGGAAUAAAUGUUGUAAUCUGUUAGUUCCUGUUGUGAUGUCUGGCACAUCUUAAAUUCUCAGUAAAUGUUUGUCUGAAAGGGAGGUACUGAGUUGAAGAUGUCAAUAUGUUUUUGUUUUUCUUAAUUUUCAUUUUCUGUGUAAAAAAAACUUUUCUUUUUGAAGAGAAAAAAAGGAAGGAAGGAAGUAGGUAGGUAAGUCAGGUGUGAGGGUGCGUGACUGUUUCCACUUCCCAUUGGUGGAAGGAGGAUCAGUAGUUCAAGGACAGCCUGGGUUAGAGGCUAGCCUGGUCUACAUAUUGAGUUGGAGGGCAACAAGUCUACAGGAAACUGUUGUCCCCAACAAAUAAUCAAAAUAACAAUUAAAAAUAAAUAUGUUGGAAACUUUAGCCUUAAAAGUUUCAUGGUUUUAAACAAAUUCUACUUUUGUGUGUAUCUGUAACUGCUUUUAAUAUAAAGGUACUUUUUACUAGUAAUGUUUAAAACAGUUGUUAAACUUUCAACUUUAUAAAGAAACUUUCUAAUUUUAGCUUAGGAAGUUUGGGGUAAUCUAUUCUUACUAAUCUCUAGUACUAAAAUAUUGCCCCCAAGGGCUGGAGAGGUAGCUCAGUGGUUAAGAACCUACUGCUCUUUGUAGAUAGGAGUUGGGUUCCCAGCACCUAUAACUCCAGCUUUAAGAGAUCUAACCUCCUCUCACCUCCACUUCUUGCAGCAUUUAUUUACAUAGUCUCACACACACACAUAAGUAAAAAUAAUAAACAUAAAUCUUAAAAAAAGAAGUUUCCACUAGGUGUAAUGGCACACCCCUUUAAUUGUCAGCACUCAGGAGGUAGAGGCUACAGACCUUAGUGGGUUUGAGGCCAGACUAAGCUGCAUAGUGAGACUGUC
Molecule: long non-coding RNA, 1167 nt
Filed under: Mus musculus (house mouse)
Lineage: Eukaryota; Metazoa; Chordata; Mammalia; Rodentia; Muridae
Description: long non-coding RNA chr13:14065986-14067153
Source: RNAcentral